AUUGAACGCUGGCGGCAGGCCUAACACAUGCAAGUCGAACGGUAACAGGAAACAGCUUGCUGUUUCGCUGACGAGUGGCGGACGGGUGAGUAAUGUCUGGGAAACUGCCUGAUGGAGGGGGAUAACUACUGGAGACGGUAGCUAAUACCGCAUAACGUCGCAAGACCAAAGAGGGGGACCUUCGGGCCUCUUGCCAUCGGAUGUGCCCAGAUGGGAUUAGCUAGUAGGGGGGGUAACGGCUCACCUAGGCGACGAUCCCUAGCUGGGCUGAGAGGAUGACCAGCCACACUGGAACUGAGACACGGUCCAGACUCCUACGGGAGGCAGCAGUGGGGAAUAUUGCACAAUGGGCGCAAGCCUGAUGCAGCCAUGUCGCGUGUAUGAAGAAGGCCUUCGGGUUGUAAAGUACUUUCAGCGGGGAGGAAGGGAGUAAAGUUAAUACCUUUGCUCAUUGACGUUACCCGCAGAAGAAGCACCGGCUAACUCCGUGCCAGCCGCCGCAGUAA
Molecule: ribosomal RNA, 506 nt
Filed under: uncultured bacterium
Lineage: Bacteria
Description: partial 16S ribosomal RNA
Rfam family: Bacterial small subunit ribosomal RNA
Source: RNAcentral